Molecule: ribosomal RNA, 770 nt
Filed under: uncultured bacterium
Lineage: Bacteria
Description: bacterial SSU rRNA
Rfam family: Bacterial small subunit ribosomal RNA
Source: RNAcentral
GACGAACGCUGGCGGCGUGCCUAACACAUGCAAGUCGAACGGAGUUGAAAGGAGCUUGCUUUUUUCAACUCAGUGGCGGACGGGUGAGUAACGCGUGAGUAACCUGCCUUUCAGAGGGGGAUAACGUUCUGAAAAGAACGCUAAUACCGCAUAAGAUUGUAGCUUCGCAUGGAGCAGCAAUCAAAGGAGCAAUCCGCUGAAAGAAGGACUCGCGUCCGAUUAGAUAGUUGGCGGGGUAACGGCCCACCAAGUCGACGAUCGGUAGCCGGACUGAGAGGUUGAUCGGCCACAUUGGGACUGAGACACGGCCCAGACUCCUACGGGAGGCAGCAGUGAGGGAUAUUGGGCAAUGGGGGAAACCCUGACCCAGCAACGCCGCGUGAGGGAUGACGGUUUUCGGAUUGUAAACCUCUGUCCUCUGUGAAGAUAGUGACGGUAGCAGAGGAGGAAGCUCCGGCUAACUACGUGCCAGCAGCCGCGGUAAUACGUAGGGAGCAAGCGUUGUCCGGAUUUACUGGGUGUAAAGGGUGCGUAGGCGGAUUGGCAAGUCAGAAGUGAAAUCCAUGGGCUUAACCCAUGAACUGCUUUUGAAACUGUUAGUCUUGAGUGAAGUAGAGGUAGGCGGAAUUCCCGGUGUAGCGGUGAAAUGCGUAGAGAUCGGGAGGAACACCAGUGGCGAAGGCGGCCUACUGGGCUUUAACUGACGCUGAGGCACGAAAGUGUGGGUAGCAAACAGGAUUAGAUACCCUGGUAGUCCACACUGUAAACGA